GAACGUACCUUUUGGUUCGGAACAACACAGGGAAACUUGUGCUAAUACCGGAUAAGCCCUUACGGGGAAAGAUUUAUCGCCGAAAGAUCGGCCCGCGUCUGAUUAGCUAGUUGGUGAGGUAACGGCUCACCAAGGCGACGAUCAGUAGCUGGUCUGAGAGGAUGAUCAGCCACAUUGGGACUGAGACACGGCCCAAACUCCUACGGGAGGCAGCAGUGGGGAAUAUUGGACAAUGGGCGCAAGCCUGAUCCAGCCAUGCCGCGUGAGUGAUGAAGGCCCUAGGGUUGUAAAGCUCUUUUGUGCGGGAAGAUAAUGACGGUACCGCAAGAAUAAGCCCCGGCUAACUCCGUGCCAGCAGCCGCGGUAAUACGGAGGGUGCAAGCGUUAUCCGGAUUCACUGGGUUUAAAGGGUGCGUAGGCGGGUUGAUAAGUCCGUGGUGAAAUCUCCGAGCUUAACUCGGAAACUGCCGUGGAUACUAUUAGUCUUGAAUAUCGUGGAGGUAAGCGGAAUAUGUCAUGUAGCGGUGAAAUGCUUAGAUAUGACAUAGAACACCAAUUGCGUAGGCAGCUUACUACACGAUCAUUGACGCUGAGGCACG
This 599-nucleotide ribosomal RNA is filed under the name uncultured bacterium. RNAcentral describes it as "bacterial SSU rRNA". It matches the Rfam family "Bacterial small subunit ribosomal RNA", at positions 122 to 755 of the family's 1533-position model. The record is from RNAcentral.